RNAcentral lists this unclassified non-coding RNA (391 nucleotides) under soil metagenome. RNAcentral's name for it is "partial contains 5.8S ribosomal RNA, internal transcribed spacer 2, and large subunit ribosomal RNA". The stretch from base 1 to 122 matches the Rfam family "5.8S ribosomal RNA", at positions 35 to 154 of the family's 154-position model. The record is from RNAcentral.
GAUGAAGAACGUAGUGAAAUGCGAUACUUGGUGUGAAUUGCAGAAUCCCGUGAACCAUCGAGUCUUUGAACGCAAGUUGCGCCCGAAGCCACUAGGCCGAGGGCACGCCUGCCUGGGCGUCACACGCCGUUGCCCCCCCAUCUACUCCUUCGGGAUUGCGGGGGGGCGGAUGAUGGCCUCCCGUGCGCCUAGCCGCGCGGUUGGCAUAAAUACCAAGUCCUCGGCGACGCACGCCACGACAAUCGGUGGUUGCGAAACCUCGGUUGCCCGUCGUGUGCGUUCGUCGCGCAUCGAGGGCUCGAAAAAAUGCUCGGCUCCGGCUGGGCUUUCAACGCGACCCCAGGUCAGGCGGGGUUACCAGCUGAAUUUAAGCAUAUCAAUAAGCGGAGGA